GACGAACGCUGGCGGCGUGCUUAACACAUGCAAGUCGAACGGAAAGGCCCUGCUUUUGUGGGGUGCUCGAGUGGCGAACGGGUGAGUAACACGUGUGUAACCUGCCCUUGACUUUGGGAUAACUUCAGGAAACUGGGGCUAAUAUCGGAUAGGAGCUCCUGCUGCAUGGUGGGGGUUGGAAAGUUUCGGCGGUUGGGGAUGGACUCGCGGCUUAUCAGCUUGUUGGUGGGGUAGUGGCUUACCAAGGCUUUGACGGGUAGCCGGCCUGAGAGGGUGACCGGCGACAUUGGGACUGAGAUACGGCCCAGACUCCUACGGGAGGCAGCAGUGGGGAAUAUUGCACAAUGGGCGGAAGCCUGAUGCAGCAACGCCGCGUGCGGGAUGACGGCCUUCGAGUUGUAAACCGCUUUCGCCUGUGACGAAGCGUGAGUGACGGUAAUGGGUAAAGAAGCACCGGCUAACUACGUG
RNAcentral lists this ribosomal RNA (468 nucleotides) under uncultured bacterium. RNAcentral's name for it is "partial 16S ribosomal RNA". It matches the Rfam family "Bacterial small subunit ribosomal RNA", at positions 28 to 507 of the family's 1533-position model. The record is from RNAcentral.